GUAGGUGGCAAGCGUUGUCCGGAAUUAUUGGGCGUAAAGCGCGCGCAGGCGGUUCUUUAAGUCUGAUGUGAAAGCCCACGGCUCAACCGUGGAGGGUCAUUGGAAACUGGAGAACUUGAGUACAGAAGAGGAAAGCGGAAUUCCACGUGUAGCGGUGAAAUGCGUAGAGAUGUGGAGGAACACCAGUGGCGAAGGCGGCUUUCUGGUCUGUAACUGACGCUGAGGCGCGAAAGCGUGGGGAGCAAACAGGAUUAGCUACCCUGGUAGUCCACGCCGUAAACGAUGAGUGCUAAGUGUUAGGGGGGUUUUCCGCCCCCCUUAGUGCUGCAGCUAACGCAUUAAGCACUCCGCCUGGGAGUACGGCCGCAAGGCUG
This 374-nucleotide ribosomal RNA is filed under the name uncultured organism. RNAcentral describes it as "partial 16S ribosomal RNA". It matches the Rfam family "Bacterial small subunit ribosomal RNA", at positions 527 to 896 of the family's 1533-position model. The record is from RNAcentral.